GACAGCAGUCGCCGCGGUAAUACGUAGGUGGCAAGCGUUGUCCGGAAUUAUAGGGCGUAAAGGGCUCGCAGGCGGUUUCUUAAGACUGAUGUGAAAGCCCCCGGCUCAACCGGGGAGGGUCAUUGGAAACUGGGAAACUUGAGUGCAGAAGAGGAGAGUGGAAUUCCACGUGUAGCGGUGAAAUGCGUAGAGAUGUGGAGGAACACCAGUGGCGAAGGCGACUCUCUGGUCUGUAACUGACGCUGAGGAGCGAAAGCGUGGGGAGCGAACAGGAUUAGAUACCCCGGUAGUCCCUGUCUCUUAUAC
RNAcentral lists this ribosomal RNA (306 nucleotides) under uncultured bacterium. RNAcentral's name for it is "partial 16S ribosomal RNA". It matches the Rfam family "Bacterial small subunit ribosomal RNA", at positions 507 to 807 of the family's 1533-position model. The record is from RNAcentral.